AGCGCAGACGGCAGUGCAAGUCUGAUGUGAAAGCCCGGGGCUCAACCCCGGAACUGCAUUGGAAACUGUACAGCUUGAGUGUCGGAGAGGUAAGCGGAAUUCCUAGUGUAGCGGUGAAAUGCGUAGAUAUUAGGAGGAACACCGGUGGCGAAGGCGGCUUACUGGACGAUGACUGACGUUGAGGCUCGAAAGCGUGGGAGCAAACA
This 206-nucleotide ribosomal RNA is filed under the name uncultured bacterium. RNAcentral's name for it is "partial 16S ribosomal RNA". It matches the Rfam family "Bacterial small subunit ribosomal RNA", at positions 568 to 774 of the family's 1533-position model. The record is from RNAcentral.